Molecule: unclassified non-coding RNA, 331 nt
Filed under: uncultured fungus
Lineage: Eukaryota; Fungi
Description: partial contains 5.8S ribosomal RNA, internal transcribed spacer 2, and large subunit ribosomal RNA
Source: RNAcentral
AACGCACAUUGCGCCCGCCGGCCAUUCCGGCGGGCAUGCCUGUCCGAGCGUCGCUCCCACCCCUCGAGCCCUAGCUUGCUCGGUGUUGGGGCCCUACGGCCGCCUAGGCCGCAGGCCCCUAAAUGCAGUGGCGGGCCCGCAGGCACUCCCGGGCGCAGUAGGAAAGAGAGCCUUCUCGGCUCCCGCACCCCCUCGCCCACGGAGCCGCCUCGGGAAACGUAAAAACCCGGCCGUCAAAACCCCCAACCCAGGGGGAGGGGUCCCCCCCCUCUCCCCGGGACGACGCAAGCAAGUUGACCUCGGAUCAGGUAGGAAGACCCGCUGAACUUAA